GAUGAACGCUGGCGGCGUACCUAAUACAUGCAAGUCGAGCGAACAGACGAGGAGCUUGCUCCUCUGACGUUAGCGGCGGACGGGUGAGUAACACGUGGAUAACCUACCUAUAAGACUGGGAUAACUUCGGGAAACCGGAGCUAAUACCGGAUAAUAUAUUGAACCGCAUGGUUCAAUAGUGAAAGACGGUUUUGCUGUCACUUAUAGAUGGAUCCGCGCUGCAUUAGCUAGUUGGUAAGGUAACGGCUUACCAAGGCGACGAUGCGUAGCCGACCUGAGAGGGUGAUCGGCCACACUGGAACUGAGACACGGUCCAGACUCCUACGGGAGGCAGCAGUAGGGAAUCUUCCGCAAUGGGCGAAAGCCUGACGGAGCAACGCCGCGUGAGUGAUGAAGGUCUUCGGAUCGUAAAACUCUGUUAUUAGGGAAGAACAAAUGUGUAAGUAACUAUGCACGUCUUGACGGUACCUAAUCAGAAAGCCACGGCUAACUACGUG
Molecule: ribosomal RNA, 497 nt
Filed under: uncultured bacterium
Lineage: Bacteria
Description: partial 16S ribosomal RNA
Rfam family: Bacterial small subunit ribosomal RNA
Source: RNAcentral